GGGUUGUGAGGUUAAGCGACUAAGCGUACACGGUGGAUGCCCUGGCAGUCAGAGGCGAUGAAGGGCGUGCUAAUCUGCGAUAAGCGCCGGUAAGGUGAUAUGAACCGUUAUAACCGGCGAUACCCGAAUGGGGAAACCCAGUGUGACUCGUCACACUAUCAUUAACUGAAUCCAUAGGUUAAUGAGGCGAACCGGGGGAACUGAAACAUCUAAGUACCCCGAGGAAAAGAAAUCAACCGAGAUUCCCCCAGUAGCGGCGAGCGAACGGGGAGGAGCCCAGAGCCUGAAUCAGCAUGUGUGUUAGUGGAAGCGUCUGGAAAGGCGCGCGAUACAGGGUGACAGCCCCGUACACAAAAGCGCAUGUGCUGUGAGCUCGAUGAGUAGGGCGGGACACGUGGUAUCCUGUCUGAAUAUGGGGGGACCAUCCUCCAAGGCUAAAUACUCCUGACUGACCGAUAGUGAACCAGUACCGUGAGGGAAAGGCGAAAAGAACCCCGGCGAGGGGAGUGAAAAAGAACCUGAAACCGUGUACGUACAAGCAGUGGGAGCCCCACCACUAAGCCAGUGGUGAACUCCACAUCCGCAUCCUUUGCUGAGGAUACGGUUAACGGAGCGAAAGCGACGUUCAACCGCAAAACAAGCAGAGGGGGCUUAGUGGUGGGGUGACUGCGUACCUUUUGUAUAAUGGGUCAGCGACUUAUAUUCUGUAGCAAGGUUAACCGAAUAGGGGAGCCGGAGGGAAACCGAGUCUUAAUUGGGCGUUAAGUUGCAGGGUAUAGACCCGAAACCCGGUGAUCUAGCCAUGGGCAGGUUGAAGGUUGGGUAACACUAACUGGAGGACCGAACCGACUAAUGUUGAAAAAUUAGCGGAUGACCUGUGGCUGGGGGUGAAAGGCCAAUCAAACCGGGAGAUAGCUGGUUCUCCCCGAAAGCUAUUUAGGUAGCGCCUCGUGAAUUCAUCUCCGGGGGUAGAGCACUGUUUCGGCUAGGGGGCCAUCCCGGCUUACCAACCCGAUGCAAACUGCGAAUACCGGAGAAUGUUAUCACGGGAGACACACGGCGGGUGCUAACGUCCGUCGUGAAGAGGGAAACAACCCAGACCGCCAGCUAAGGUCCCAAAGUCAUGGUUAAGUGGGAAACGAUGUGGGAAGGCCCAGACAGCCAGGAUGUUGGCUUAGAAGCAGCCAUCAUUUAAAGAAAGCGUAAUAGCUCACUGGUCGAGUCGGCCUGCGCGGAAGAUGUAACGGGGCUAAACCAUGCACCGAAGCUGCGGCAGCGAACGUAUCACCCAAGACAACUUUACGGAGUUGACGAUUGACGGAGCGAAGCGACGUCAAAGCGUUCAUUAAAGUCGAGUUGGCUUAGGGAUACGUUCGUUGGGUAGGGGAGCGUUCUGUAAGCCUGUGAAGGUGUGUCGUGAGGCAUGCUGGAGGUAUCAGAAGUGCGAAUGCUGACAUAAGUAACGAUAAAGCGGGUGAAAAGCCCGCUCGCCGGAAGACCAAGGGUUCCUGUCCAACGUUAAUCGGGGCAGGGUGAGUCGACCCCUAAGGCGAGGCCGAAAGGCGUAGUCGAUGGGAAACGGGUUAAUAUUCCCGUACUUGGUGUUACUGCGAAGGGGGGACGGAGAAGGCUAUGUUGGCCGGGCGACGGUUGUCCCGGUUUAAGCGUGUAGGUGUGUGUUCCAGGUAAAUCCGGUUCACUUUAACACUGAGGCGUGACGACGAGGCACUACGGUGCUGAAGCAACAAAUGCCCUGCUUCCAGGAAAAGCCUCUAAGCAUCAGGUAACACGAAAUCGUACCCCAAACCGACACAGGUGGUCAGGUAGAGAAUACCAAGGCGCUUGAGAGAACUCGGGUGAAGGAACUAGGCAAAAUGGUGCCGUAACUUCGGGAGAAGGCACGCUGACACGUAGGUGAAGUGAUUUACUCAUGGAGCUGAAGUCAGUCGAAGAUACCAGCUGGCUGCAACUGUUUAUUAAAAACACAGCACUGUGCAAACACGAAAGUGGACGUAUACGGUGUGACGCCUGCCCGGUGCCGGAAGGUUAAUUGAUGGGGUCAGCGUAAGCGAAGCUCCUGAUCGAAGCCCCGGUAAACGGCGGCCGUAACUAUAACGGUCCUAAGGUAGCGAAAUUCCUUGUCGGGUAAGUUCCGACCUGCACGAAUGGCGUAAUGAUGGCCAGGCUGUCUCCACCCGAGACUCAGUGAAAUUGAACUCGCUGUGAAGAUGCAGUGUACCCGCGGCAAGACGGAAAGACCCCGUGAACCUUUACUAUAGCUUGACACUGAACAUUGAGCCUUGAUGUGUAGGAUAGGUGGGAGGCUUUGAAGUGUGGACGCCAGUCUGCAUGGAGCCGACCUUGAAAUACCACCCUUUAAUGUUUGAUGUUCUAACGUGGACCCGUAAUCCGGGUUGCGGACAGUGUCUGGUGGGUAGUUUGACUGGGGCGGUCUCCUCCUAAAGAGUAACGGAGGAGCACGAAGGUUGGCUAAUCCUGGUCGGACAUCAGGAGGUUAGUGCAAUGGCAUAAGCCAGCUUGACUGCGAGCGUGACGGCGCGAGCAGGUGCGAAAGCAGGUCAUAGUGAUCCGGUGGUUCUGAAUGGAAGGGCCAUCGCUCAACGGAUAAAAGGUACUCCGGGGAUAACAGGCUGAUACCGCCCAAGAGUUCAUAUCGACGGCGGUGUUUGGCACCUCGAUGUCGGCUCAUCACAUCCUGGGGCUGAAGUAGGUCCCAAGGGUAUGGCUGUUCGCCAUUUAAAGUGGUACGCGAGCUGGGUUUAGAACGUCGUGAGACAGUUCGGUCCCUAUCUGCCGUGGGCGCUGGAGAACUGAGGGGGGCUGCUCCUAGUACGAGAGGACCGGAGUGGACGCAUCACUGGUGUUCGGGUUGUCAUGCCAAUGGCACUGCCCGGUAGCUAAAUGCGGAAGAGAUAAGUGCUGAAAGCAUCUAAGCACGAAACUUGCCCCGAGAUGAGUUCUCCCUGAGACUUUAGGUCUCCUGAAGGAACGUUGAAGACGACGACGUUGAUAGGCCGGGUGUGUAAGCGCAGCGAUGCGUUGAGCUAACCGGUACUAAUGAACCGUGAGGCUUAACCUUACAACGCCGAAG
RNAcentral lists this ribosomal RNA (3112 nucleotides) under Salmonella enterica subsp. enterica serovar Typhimurium. Its description in RNAcentral is "23S ribosomal RNA". It matches the Rfam family "Bacterial large subunit ribosomal RNA". The record is from RNAcentral. Lineage: Bacteria; Pseudomonadati; Pseudomonadota; Gammaproteobacteria; Enterobacterales; Enterobacteriaceae.